UCCUGAGAAACGGCUACCACAUCCAAGGAAGGCAGCAGGCACGCAAAUUACCCAAUGCCAGCUCUGCGAGGUAGUGACGAAAAAUAACAAUGCGGGACUCUUCCGAGUCUGCGUAAUUGGAAUGAGCACACUUUAAAUCCUUUAGCAACAAUCAAUUGGAGGGCAAGUCUGGUGCCAGCAGCCGCGGUAAUUCCAGCUCCAAUAGCGUAUAUUAAAGUUGUUGCGGUUAAAAAGCUCGUAGUUUGAGGUCGGUUCCGGACUGGGGUGGGAGGUCACCGCCCGGUGCUUCCCCUUCAGGCUCCGAACAGCUUCCUUUGUUGGAAGCCAAGCCGGAUUGGGAUGGGUGCUCUUUACCGAGUGUCCGUUUCGGCCGGCCAGUUCACCUUGAAUAAAUGAGAGUGCUCAAAGCAGGCUACUCUGGAAUACAAUGCCCGAAUGUUAGCUGCAUGGAAUGAUGGAAGAUGAUCUCGGUUGCAUUUUGUUGGUGGUGGCAGCCCGAGGUAAUGAUAAAGAGGGACUGUCGGGGGCAUCCGUACUACGACGCGAGAGGUGAA
RNAcentral lists this ribosomal RNA (554 nucleotides) under Macrobrachium ohione. RNAcentral describes it as "SSU rRNA". It matches the Rfam family "Eukaryotic small subunit ribosomal RNA", at positions 394 to 915 of the family's 1831-position model. Lineage: Eukaryota; Metazoa; Arthropoda; Malacostraca; Decapoda; Palaemonidae. The record is from RNAcentral.